GUGCCAGCCGCCGCGGUAAUACAGAGGGUGCGAGCGUUAAUCGGAGUGACUGGGCGUAAAGGGCGCGUAGGCGGUUAGAUUAGUCUGAUGUGAAAGACCUGGGCUUAACCUGGGAUGUGCAUUGGAGACGGUCUAGCUAGAGUUUGAGAGAGGGAAGUGGAAUUUCCGGUGUAGCGGUGAAAUGCGUAGAGAUCGGAAAGAACACUCGUGGCGAAGGCGACUUUCUGGCUCAAAACUGACGCUGAGGCGCGAAAGCGUGGGGAGCAAACAGGAUUAGAAACCCUUGUAGUCC
RNAcentral lists this ribosomal RNA (292 nucleotides) under uncultured bacterium. Its description in RNAcentral is "partial 16S ribosomal RNA". It matches the Rfam family "Bacterial small subunit ribosomal RNA", at positions 505 to 796 of the family's 1533-position model. The record is from RNAcentral.